AUACGGAGGGUGCAAGCGUUGUCCGGAUUUAUUGGGUUUAAAGGGUGCGUAGGCGGCGUAAUAAGUCAGUGGUGAAAGCCGGCAGCUCAACUGUCGAGGUGCCAUUGAAACUGUUAUGCUUGAGUACAGACGAGGUAGGCGGAAUUUAUGAUGUAGCGGUGAAAUGCAUAGAUAUCAUAAAGAACACCGAUAGCGAAGGCAGCUUACUAGGCUGUAACUGACGCUGAGGCACGAAAGCGUGGGGAGCGAACAGGAUUAGAUACCCCUGUAGUCC
RNAcentral lists this ribosomal RNA (274 nucleotides) under uncultured bacterium. Its description in RNAcentral is "partial 16S ribosomal RNA". It matches the Rfam family "Bacterial small subunit ribosomal RNA", at positions 523 to 796 of the family's 1533-position model. The record is from RNAcentral.